CCUACGGGGAGCAGCAGUGGGGAAUAUUGGACAAUGGGCGAAAGCCUGAUCCAGCCAUGCCGCGUGUGUGAAGAAGGCCUUCGGGUUGUAAAGCACUUUCAGUGGGGAAGAAAGCCUUGGGGCUAAUACCCUCGAGGAAGGACAUCACCCACAGAAGAAGCACCGGCUAACUCCGUGCCAGCAGCCGCGGUAAUACGGAGGGUGCGAGCGUUAAUCGGAAUUACUGGGCGUAAAGCGCGCGUAGGCGGUCUGAUAAGCCGGUUGUGAAAGCCCCGGGCUCAACCUGGGAACGGCAUCCGGAACUGUCAGGCUAGGGUGCAGGAGAGGAAGGUAGAAUUCCCGGUGUAGCGGUGAAAUGCGUAGAGAUCGGGAGGAAUACCAGUGGCGAAGGCGGCCUUCUGGACUGACACUGACGCUGAGGUGCGAAAGCGUGGGUAGCAAACAGGAUUAGAUACCCUAGAGUC
Molecule: ribosomal RNA, 464 nt
Filed under: Vreelandella stevensii
Lineage: Bacteria; Pseudomonadati; Pseudomonadota; Gammaproteobacteria; Oceanospirillales; Halomonadaceae
Description: partial 16S ribosomal RNA
Rfam family: Bacterial small subunit ribosomal RNA
Source: RNAcentral